Molecule: long non-coding RNA, 2546 nt
Organism: Homo sapiens (human)
Lineage: Eukaryota; Metazoa; Chordata; Mammalia; Primates; Hominidae
Exons: 3
Source: RefSeq, a predicted model, not a curated record
CUAUGGGGCACAAGCCAGGAAUGCUGAGGACAGGUCCAAGGCAGAUGGGUCUGUUCCGAGAACUGUAUCAGCUCCUAUCAUGUUUUCCAUAAGUUUGUUUGCAACUGCGCUAUCAGAAAGGGGGGGAAUGGGGAAAUUAACACAUAUUCAGUCUUUACUAAAAUGCUAGGCUGGCCCUAUUUAGGCAAACUUCCAUCUAUUUUAAGUAAUCCACAAUUAAAUACAACCAUAUAGAUAGUAUUGUUGUUCACAGUUUACAGUUGAGGAUCAGAGAUGUUAAGUGACUUUCCCGAUGUCACACAGCUAGUGAGUUGAAGAGUCAGCAUUGGAACCCAGGUUCUUGCAAUCCCAAUACUUCUGCUUUUCCUUCUAUAUCUCAAUGUUGGCAUUUUUAAAAAAGGAAAAUAACCAAAUACUAUUACAAUGAAUAUUCUCUUAAUGAUGACAUAUAACAAUACACCACAAGAGAACAGAACAAAAAUUGAAGGGACAAGUAAACCUUCUCUUGGAUCUCAUCUAUGAAGACACAGAAGCAGAUUCAAGUGUGUACUGAGCACUUAGGGUAACAACCAGGAAUCAUCUGGAGCAAUUUACAUGGCUUAUCUCAUUUAAUUCUCACAAACUCCUAUGAGGUAAAUGUUAUUAUUCUUACAUUACAGAAGAAGACGCUGAGGCUCAGAGAGGUUAAUUAAUUUGCCCAAGAUCACACAGCUAGCAAGUGGUUAGCAGGAAAUUUGCCCAUCUGACCUGUUUCCUAGAAGCUAUGAAUGGAACUGAGGCUAUCUUUGAUUUCAUCGAGUGCUAGCCUUUGAAUGAAACAUUUGCAGCAAAACAACACACUUCUCCUAAAGGCAAAUUUUGAUCAUGAUCACAAAGAUGCAAAAAACCGGUUUGAAUUAAUACUGAAUGAUCAAGCAUUUUCAUUCUUGAAUAAAAUAACACAUCCAGAAGGCAAGAGUAUGUUAUUGACACACAAGACCAGACACAAUAUGUGAAUGGUCCAUCCAGCCUGGCCCUCUGGGGCUCACAGCCCUCAAUGGCCAUGCCAAGCCAGAGUCUAUUUUUAGCUCCAAACUACACAGUAGCUAGCAAACAUUGUUAAUGUUCUCUUGAUCUUUAGACCGAGAGUGAUAAACGAAUGUCGUGUUCCCAAACAGCCAAAGCUCUGUACAUGAGCCUGGCCAGAACGAAGGUCAAGUCCAACUGGAGUUGUUUGCUCUGCUUUUCUGUUAAAAAAUUUUUUUUAUCUGCUCCUGCAACUGUCCACCCCACUUAUUUUGUGAUAAAAUGUUUAUUGAGGAAGAUACCAAUAAGCAACAUGGAAAAAAGAAAACACAUUUAAUUUUCUACCCAGCAAUAACAAUUUUGAUGUGGUCUCCCACUCUCUGUAUUCUAUUUACCAACAUAAGAUUAUUAAUUUUGGGGAGGCAUAAAAUGAUGCCAUUGGGAACACCAUGUCAGAUCGUUAACUAUCGUCACUUUAAUGGCCUCACAGGGACCUGGUGGAGACACCAUGGAGAAGCAGGAAAAUGCUGUGGGUAUGGCUGCAGGCUGAGGCUUCCAUUUUUGGCACCCUCUCUUGCUUUGAGGGAGCAGUUGCCACAUUGUAAGCGGCUCUGUGAAGAGGUCCACGUAUCAAGGAACUGAGAGUGGCUUCUGGCUGACAGCAUCCAAGGAACUGAAUCCAGCCACAACCCCGUAAGUGGGACUGCCAGUAGAUCGUCCAACCGCCAAGUUGAGCCAUCAUAUGAGACCACAGCCCCAGCUGACAGCUCCAUUACACCCUCAUGACAGACCUUGAGCCAGAGGAUCUGGCUAAGUCACCCCUGGAGUCCCAACCCGCAGAAACUGUGAGAUAAUAAACAUAGGAUCCCAAUCUGCUAAAUCUGGAGGUAUGUGUUACGUGGCGGCAGAUAAUCAAUACAGUGGCUCGGGUCCUGGAGCCAACUGGGCUUAGCUCAAAAGCCUGGCUCAGCCGCUCAUCAGCUCUGUGGCUCUGGCAACUUAAUUUCCCUGACUUGAAGUUUCCUUUACCUUAAGGAGUGGAGGUGAGGGCUAAAUGGGUUAAAAGUAAGCUGUAAUUCCUAUCAUUUUUUAAUCCUUCCCCUGGUUGCUACUUGCCUAAUAGCAGUGUACGAGAGUACACGUAUUCCUGUAUCUUUGCCAACACUGUGUUUUAGUAUUCUUAAAAAACCAUAUUCUGGCUUACUAGAUAUCCCAAAUCAAUAAGUCAAAAGAGAAGACAAAAUCUCACCAUAUGGUUUUCUAAAUCAUAAAUGUGCCAAAAAAGAUUCAGCUCCAGCCAAGAAAAUGCAGAAGAGGUAAAGGUCGAGAAGAAUAAGGAAAAGACUGAGAAACUGUCACAGACCAGAGGAGGCCAUGGAAGAUGAGACAAAUCAAUGCAAUGUGUGUACCUGGAUUGGAUCCUGGAGCAGAAAAAGACAUUAAAGGAAAAAUGAGUGAAAGCCAAAUAAAAGUCUGGAGUUUGGUUAAUGGUAACAUACCAAGAGCCUCGAUGUUGCCCAGGCUGGAGUACAGUGGCACGA